GGAUGUGGGGGUGAUCUGGCCGUAACAUCUGUCACCCCAUCUAUCACCAGAGCUGAUUUGGCUGAUUUGGCUGAGCUGGCUAGUUAAGCAGGUGUCCCCUUCCUCCUUCACUGUUCCAUAUUCGACCCUCCCAAAGCUGCGCACUCGGUCAGAGAGUAUGACCUUCCCCAAUAGAGAAGGACUGUCCUUCGGUCAAGGGUAUAUGUGUAGCUGUGUGCCCCUGCUAGAACCUCCAAACAAGCUCUCAAGAAAGGAUCUUAUAGGUUGUGUAGUUAGUCUGAGAGUCAGGACAUUUAUAAUCAAAAUGAAUUUGUUGAAGGGGAGGUCAACAAAUUUUC
Unclassified non-coding RNA from Marmota marmota marmota (Alpine marmot), 338 nucleotides. Its record names the gene 7SK. It matches the Rfam family "7SK RNA". From Rfam's summary of the family: 7SK was discovered as an abundant small nuclear RNA in the mid-70s but a possible function has only recently been suggested. Two independent studies have found that 7SK RNA binds the CDK9/cyclin T complex (known as elongation factor P-TEFb). The record is from Ensembl. Lineage: Eukaryota; Metazoa; Chordata; Mammalia; Rodentia; Sciuridae.